This 345-nucleotide RNase P RNA is filed under the name Halioglobus japonicus. Its description in RNAcentral is "RNase P RNA component class A". It matches the Rfam family "Bacterial RNase P class A". Rfam says of the family: Ribonuclease P (RNase P) is a ubiquitous endoribonuclease, found in archaea, bacteria and eukarya as well as chloroplasts and mitochondria. Its best characterised activity is the generation of mature 5'-ends of tRNAs by cleaving the 5'-leader elements of precursor-tRNAs. Cellular RNase Ps are ribonucleoproteins. The record is from RNAcentral. RNAcentral also lists the same sequence under 1 other name. Lineage: Bacteria; Pseudomonadati; Pseudomonadota; Gammaproteobacteria; Cellvibrionales; Halieaceae.
CGAGUCGGUUGGGCGAUCGCUCUUCACCUGGUGGAGGGAGGAAAGUCCGGGCUCCACAGGGCAGGGUGCCAGAUAACUUCUGGGGGGCGCGAGCCUACGGAAAGUGCAGCAGAAAGGAAACCGCCUCUGCGUGCAGAGGUAAGGGUGAAAAGGUGCGGUAAGAGCGCACCGCGCGGCUGGUAACAGGCGCGGCGAUGGUAAACCCCACUCGGAGCAAGACCAAAUAGGAACUCGUGUGCCGCGGCCCGCGGUGGGUUCGGGUAGGUCGCUUCAGGCAGCUGGUGACAGUUGUCGCAGAUGAAUGGUCGUCCACGACAGAACCCGGCUUACAGACCGACUCGCUUA